RNAcentral lists this ribosomal RNA (253 nucleotides) under uncultured bacterium. Its description in RNAcentral is "partial 16S ribosomal RNA". It matches the Rfam family "Bacterial small subunit ribosomal RNA", at positions 524 to 776 of the family's 1533-position model. The record is from RNAcentral.
GACGUAGGAGGCGAGCGUUGUCCGGAUUCAUUGGGCGUAAAGAGCGCGCAGGCGGCUUGGUAAGUCGGAUGUGAAAUCCCGAGGCUCAACCUCGGGCCUGCAUCCGAUACUGCCCGGCUAGAGGUAGGUAGGGGAGAUCGGAAUUCCUGGUGUAGCGGUGAAAUGCGCAGAUAUCAGGAGGAACACCGGUGGCGAAGGCGGAUCUCUGGGCCUUACCUGACGCUCAGGCGCGAAAGCUAGGGGAGCGAACUGG